This is a long non-coding RNA of Gymnodraco acuticeps, 815 nucleotides long. RefSeq lists it as uncharacterized. NCBI's taxonomy places the organism in Eukaryota, Metazoa, Chordata, Actinopteri, Perciformes, Bathydraconidae. The transcript is spliced from 3 exons. The record is from RefSeq and is a predicted model, not a curated record.
UGACUGUUGCUACUGAGGAUCAAGGGACUUUGUGCAGUCAUAUCAAGUCCUGUCGAUUUCACGUCAGCUAUGGACAACAGACCAUAGGAAGUUAACACUAACGGGAACAGCAAAAGAAGACAGACUAACAAGUGAUACCGAAACGCUGGCAGCCAGACCGUCAAUGAGUAGGCGAGUGGCUGUAGUGCUUCGUGGUCCUCUUCCAAUCAGAAGGUUGUGGGUUCGAUCCCAGCUCCUGCAGUCAACAUGGCGAUAUAUCCUUGUGCAAGGCACAAAGCCUUGGGGGGAAUACCAAGCAGCUCAGCUAAGCCCCCCCCUGCAGGAGACAAAGACACAGCUCUUCAAAGCAGCGCCGGGCCUUUGCACAGCUAACAGCAGCCAGCGCUCUAAACGUGACAGUGUUUGAGAAUACUUUGCACCUCUAAAGCCUGAAGAUAUCCCACACUGCUCAACGCCAACAGAAGGGACAAUUGUGAAGAUGCACUCGUAUGAGCUUAUUUUCAUUUUAUCUUUUUGUUUUGUCCCAGACGUCUGUAAUGUGUUGUCUUGCAUUUCUCUUCUACUCUAUUCCUGACCAUUGGUUUUUUUUCACGUGUUGCUCCACAUACCACUCAAUUUGUGUGUAUGUAGUUGUAUGCACUUGUACUUGUAUUUCAAUAUAUAUAUAUAAUAUAUUUAACUUAUUUUGUUAAUGAUUUUUCUUUAUCUCUCUCUCUUUCUUUACAUACAUACUUUUUUUUAGAUUCCUUAUAAUCCAGGGAAAAUGAGAUUUGUUCAAAAAUAUUUUUGAGGGAAAUGAAGACAAUGUAAAUGAA